CAUAUUCUAUGGCCGCUGGCGGCUACGCCACUGAGAAAAGAUAAAGGUGUUAGCUUUUCUCCCAAUUAGAGGUCCAAUCCUGCGAUGAAGACUGCCUGCGGUCAGAGCCCAACUUCGUUCUACCGAUUGGGCUGUGAUGGCCUCGCGGGCUAAUCCAAAAAAAGAAACCUUUUAUUGUGUUUGAUUUAUUUGUUUGUUGGAUUGAUUGACUUGCUCACACACUGGAUUUUUCCCCUUUUUUUUUUCCUUUAAUUUUGGUCAGUAAUGAUGAAGAAAGCUUCCAGAGAGAAAGAACUCCCGCUCUGCGUUCUGCUCCCCUGUUCAAGAUCCAAUAUUCGACCAGUGAACGUGAAUCCGAUUUCUAGAUGGAGAAAAGACAGAUUUGGGCUUGGCGAUGACAAACAAGGCAGGCCGCAACCCAACUACAAGAGCUCUGUAAAUGGUUUAGUUUCAAACGACAGGUCGUAGACGCAUAUAACAAUCUUGCACUUAGGAAAUCAAAUGAUAGAUUGGUGCUCUUACAAGUGUU
This 529-nucleotide unclassified non-coding RNA is filed under the name Hevea brasiliensis (rubber tree). The record is from RNAcentral. Lineage: Eukaryota; Viridiplantae; Streptophyta; Magnoliopsida; Malpighiales; Euphorbiaceae.